RNAcentral lists this ribosomal RNA (1204 nucleotides) under metagenome. Its description in RNAcentral is "bacterial SSU rRNA". It matches the Rfam family "Bacterial small subunit ribosomal RNA", at positions 314 to 1498 of the family's 1533-position model. The record is from RNAcentral.
UGGGACUGAGACACUGCCCAGACUCCUACGGGAGGCUGCAGUCGAGGAUCAUUGUCAAUGCGCGAAAGCGUGAACAUGCGACGCUGCGUGGAGGAUGAAGGCCUUCGGGUUGUAAACUCCUGUCAUUCGGGAAAAACAAUUCCGGUGUUAAUAGCGCCGGAGUACGAUGGUACCGAAAGAGGAAGCCACGGCUAACUCUGUGCCAGCAGCCGCGGUAAUACAGAGGUGGCGAGCGUUGUUCGGAUUUACUGGGCGUAAAGCGUGCGUAGGUGGACCCGUAUGUUGGACGUGAAAGCCCACCGCCCAACGGUGGAACUGCAUCCAAAACUGCGGGACUAGAGUACAGGAGGGGAGAGUGGAAUUCUUGGUGUAGCGGUGAAAUGCGUUGAUAUCAAGAAGAACACCGGCGGCGAAGGCGGCUCUCUGGAAUGUUACUGACACUGCAGCACGAAAGCUGGGGGAGCAAACAGGAUUAGAUACCCUGGUAGUCCCAGCCGUAAACUGUGUGCACUUGGUGUGGGGGGUAUUGACCCCCCCCCGUGCCGGAGCUAACGCGUUAAGUGCACCGCCUGGGGAGUACGGCCGCAAGGCUAAAACUCAAAGAAAUUGACGGGGGCCCGCACAAGCGGAGGAGCAUGUGGCUCAAUUCGAUGCAAUGCGAAGAACCUUACCAGGGCUUGACAUGCAGCUGCACGGCCGGUGAAAGCCGGUUUCCUUCGAGGGUGCUGCACAGGUGCUGCAUGGCUGUCGUCAGUUCGUGCCGUGAGGUGUUGGGUUAAGUCCCGCAACGAACGCAACCCUUGUGUCUAGUUGCCACCGUGGGUGAUGAGCCCGCGAGCACUCUAGACAGACUGCCCGUACAAGCGGGAGGAAGGUGGGGACGACGUCAAGUCAGUAUGGCCCUUACGCCCUGGGCUGCACACGUGCUACAAUGGCCGGUACAAAAGGACACGAAACCGCGAGGUGGAGUAAAUCCCCAGAGCCGGCCUCAGUUCGGAUUGGAGUCUGAAACUCGACUCCAUGAAGUCGGAUUCGCUAGUAACGGCGUAUCAGCUACGACGCCGUGAAUACGUUCCCGGGCCUUGUAUACACCGCCCGUCACAUCAUGAAAGCCGUCUGCACCCGAAGCCGCUGAGCCAAUCCUUUACGGGAGGGCAGGUGUCGAAGGUGUGGGUGGUGAUUGGGAUGAAGUCGUAACAAGGUA